AAAAGCCAUAGAAGAACCACAUGAUAGCACAUAGUGUGAGGAAAAAUGAGAGUGCAAACGGCAUGUACUCUACACUCUUAGUCCUUAUAACCAGUGUCUGAAAUCACACACAAAAAAACUUAAGGUGAGUUUAUCAUGAAUAUAACAACUAAUUUCAAUAAUUUUGUUAUCUUUAUAUUAAUUUAGGUACCAUGAUGCCAAGGGGAGCGGCAAAAUUAGAGACAGAAAAGAUCGCGCAGAUCCAUCCGACAAUCGUGACUCUCACUUUCCCGUGUGAGAAUAAGGAUGUGCAAAGUAUGAUCAAACCAUAUACUCCUACAUUGAAGAAGAUAAGCAUCUUUGUCGUAUAUA
RNAcentral lists this long non-coding RNA (351 nucleotides) under Actinidia chinensis (golden kiwifruit). RNAcentral's name for it is "long non-coding RNA (ACHI_LNC004464)". The record is from RNAcentral. Lineage: Eukaryota; Viridiplantae; Streptophyta; Magnoliopsida; Ericales; Actinidiaceae.